UGCAUUGCAAAUGAGCACUGGGUAUGAGAAUUCUACAAAAAUCUUUGUGUAGUCUCCCUCUUAGAACUAGUGAUGGGGAUUAAGGGAACGAAGAUGCAUUUUGGAACAGAGCAGAUCAAUAAAAUAUAUGUGCUCCCAAAUGCCAACAUAGCUGAGUUCCAUACAAAGAGUUGUAAGCCAGGGACCUGGAUCUCUAGCAUAUUAUGCCCUGGUAGAGAGGUCUCCUG
RNAcentral lists this long non-coding RNA (227 nucleotides) under Capsicum annuum. RNAcentral describes it as "long non-coding RNA (CANN_LNC010479)". The record is from RNAcentral. Lineage: Eukaryota; Viridiplantae; Streptophyta; Magnoliopsida; Solanales; Solanaceae.